Molecule: ribosomal RNA, 612 nt
Filed under: uncultured bacterium
Lineage: Bacteria
Description: bacterial SSU rRNA
Rfam family: Bacterial small subunit ribosomal RNA
Source: RNAcentral
CCUACGGGAGGCAGCAGUGGGGAAUAUUGGGCAAUGGAGGAAACUCUGACCCAGCGACGCCGCGUGCGGGAUGAAGGCCUUCGGGUUGUAAACCGCUUUCAGUAGGGAAGAAGCGAAAGUGACGGUACCUACAGAAGAAGCACCGGCUAACUAUGUGCCAGCAGCCGCGGUAAUACAUAGGGUGCAAGCGUUGUCCGGAAUUAUUGGGCGUAAAGAGCUCGUAGGUGGUUCGUCACGUCGGAUGUGAAAAUCUGGGGCUCAACCCCAGACCUGCAUUCGAUACGGGCGAUCUAGAGUGUGGUAGGGGAGACUGGAAUUCCUGGUGUAGCGGUGGAAUGCGCAGAUAUCAGGAGGAACACCAAUGGCGAAGGCAGGUCUCUGGGCCAUUACUGACACUGAGGAGCGAAAGCGUGGGGAGCGAACAGGAUUAGAUACCCUGGUAGUCCACGCCGUAAACGGUGGGCACUAGUUGUGGGAACCUUCCACGGUUUCUGCGACGCAGCUAACGCAUUAAGUGCCCCGCCUGGGGAGUACGAUCGCAAGAUUAAAACUCAAAGUAGUAAGUUAGACGUCGUUAGAGAGUUCGACCGAGGCACGACGGAGGGUUAGAGG